Molecule: ribosomal RNA, 265 nt
Filed under: uncultured Glomeromycotina
Lineage: Eukaryota; Fungi; Glomeromycota
Description: partial 18S ribosomal RNA
Rfam family: Eukaryotic small subunit ribosomal RNA
Source: RNAcentral
UUAAAAAGCUCGUAGUUGAAUUUCGGGGUCAGUAGGUCGGUCGUGCCACUGGUAUGAACUGGUUUUACUGAUUCCUCCCUCUUGAAGAACUGUAAUGCCAUUAACUUGGUGUUGCAGGGAAUCAGGACUGUUACUUUGAAAAAAUUAGAGUGUUUAAAGCAGGCUUUAGCUUGAAUACAUUAGCAUGGAAUAAUGAAAUAGGACGUUUGAUCCUAUUUUGUUGGUUUCUAGGAUUGACGUAAUGAUUAAUAGGGAUAGUUGGGGG